GACGAACUGUGCGAACGUUGUUCGGAAUCACUGGGCUUAAAGGGUGCGUAGGCGGCUCGUUAAGUCGGGGGUGAAAUACUUCGGCUCAACCGGAGAAUUGCCUUCGAUACUGGCGGGCUAGAGGAAGGUAGGGGUCGCGGGAACUGCCAGUGGAGCGGUGAAAUGCGUUGAUAUUGGCAGGAACGCCGGUGGUGAAGACGCGCGGCUGGACCUUUUCUGACGCUGAGGCACGAAAGCCAGGGGAGCAAACGGG
Molecule: ribosomal RNA, 253 nt
Filed under: uncultured bacterium
Lineage: Bacteria
Description: partial 16S ribosomal RNA
Rfam family: Bacterial small subunit ribosomal RNA
Source: RNAcentral